RNAcentral lists this ribosomal RNA (539 nucleotides) under Vermamoeba vermiformis. RNAcentral's name for it is "SSU rRNA". It matches the Rfam family "Eukaryotic small subunit ribosomal RNA", at positions 637 to 1175 of the family's 1831-position model. Lineage: Eukaryota; Tubulinea; Echinamoebida; Vermamoebidae. The record is from RNAcentral.
GAUUUCGGAAGGUCCUUUGCGGUCCGCCCCUUCGGGGAGCGGGUCGCAGGCCUCCUAUGUUCCUAACGGUCCUCCUGCCGCGAGGUGGGGGGAAUCAACCGCUAGGAUCGUUUACUUUGAGGAAAUUAGAGUGUUCAAAGCAGGCGUAACUCGCCUCCGAAUACGUUAGCAUGGGAUAAUGGAAUACGACUUCGGUCUUGUUUCGUUGGUUUCGCUUGGCUGAAGUAAUGAUUGAUAGGGACAGUUGGGGGCAUUAGUAUUUAGUUGUCAGAGGUGAAAUUCUAGGAUUUACUAAAGACUGACCAAUGCGAAAGCAUUUGCCAAGGAUGUUUUCAUUAAUCAAGAACGAAAGUAGGGGGAUCGAAGACGAUCAGAUACCGUCGUAGUCUCUACCGUAAACUAUGCCGACCAGGGAUCCGGAGAGUUUGCAUGGAUGACUCCCCGGGCACCUUGUGAGAAAUCAUAAGUGUUUGGGUUUUGGGGGGAGUAUGGUCGCAAGGCUGAAACUUAAAGGAAUUGACGGAAGGGCACCACCAGGA